This 520-nucleotide ribosomal RNA is filed under the name uncultured bacterium. Its description in RNAcentral is "bacterial SSU rRNA". It matches the Rfam family "Bacterial small subunit ribosomal RNA", at positions 772 to 1294 of the family's 1533-position model. The record is from RNAcentral.
ACUGAAUAGAUACCCAGGUAGUCCACGCUGUAAACGAUGAAUACUAGGUGUUGGAUACAUUAGUAUCCAGUGCCGCAGCUAACGCAUUAAGUAUUCCACCUGGGGAGUACGAUCGCAAGGUUGAAACUCAAAGGAAUUGACGGGGGCCCGCACAAGCAGUGGAGCAUGUGGUUUAAUUCGAUGCAACGCGAAGAACCUUACCUAGGCUUGAAAGGCAAGUGACCGACUGUGAAAGCAGUCUUCCCGCAAGGGCACUUGUACAGGUGCUGCAUGGCUGUCGUCAGCUCGUGCCGUGAGGUGUUGGGUUAAGUCUCGCAACGAGCGCAACCCCUACCAUUAGUUGCCAUCAGGUUAUGCUGGGCACUCUAAUGGGACUGCCUACGCAAGUAGUGAGGAAGGUGGGGAUGACGUCAAGUCAGCAUGGCCCUUACGUCUAGGGCUACACACGUGCUACAAUGGGUACUACAACGGGUUGCUAAGCCGCAAGGUGGAGCCAAUCCCUAAAAGGUAUCCUCAGUUC